Long non-coding RNA from Phlebotomus papatasi, 711 nucleotides. RefSeq lists it as uncharacterized. NCBI's taxonomy places the organism in Eukaryota, Metazoa, Arthropoda, Insecta, Diptera, Psychodidae. The record is from RefSeq and is a predicted model, not a curated record. The transcript has 2 exons.
UAUAAAUAGACAUGUUCCUAUGUGGAUAAUAUCAAACGUGUGGAGAAAAUUGCGAAAUCAUCACUUGCACGGAAAAAAAUAAAGAUCCAAGUGAAAAUGAUAAUAUUGUGGAAAGUGUACUUUUUCGUUGUAAUAUCUUAUUUUGCGGGAAAAUCCUUAGGACAAGGACAAACUAGCUCAAGUUGUGUCAGUACUGAAAGUAUGCAAACUCACUGUAACAAUCUAUACGAUCCGGAAACUCAGCGAGGGGAAAAUGAAUGUUGUAAUAGAGCCAUAGCAAUUUGCUGUGAAAAUUGUAACCAAGAUGAUGGACGCUUUUUAAACACAUGCUUGUAUGACGUUUGUCAAAUCAUUAGUUCUUGCAGUAAUACUGCUCAAAUUGCAACAAGUAUAAAUUUGAACGUACAAGGUCCUGCUUUAGUUUCAUCCCCUGGUGAUUUUUCAACAAACGCAUUAAAUGUCAUUUCUUCCCUUGGCUCAUCAGUUAAAUUCAGCGCUCAACCUAUACAGAUUAAAAAUAAUUGGUUCGAUCAGCUUACCAGUGUCUCAUGUACACCAUGUAUCUGUGGUGACCAAAAUGACAAAAAGUAAACUUUAAUAAUGUAGUAAAGUUUUAAAAAGAAUCAUCUUUACCUAUUUUUCGAAGACAUAUGGCAAUUUAUUAUUCUUUAUUGGAAAUAAAGUAUGCUCUGAAAUAAUAUUUUCACUUCC